GCGAGGAUAGCUCAGUUGGGAGAGCGUUAGACUAAAGAUCUGAGGUUUGUGUUCGAUCCAUUUUUUUUAUU
This is a non-coding RNA of Thalictrum thalictroides, 71 nucleotides long. Lineage: Eukaryota; Viridiplantae; Streptophyta; Magnoliopsida; Ranunculales; Ranunculaceae. The record is from the annotation of a GenBank genome assembly.